RNAcentral lists this small RNA (3514 nucleotides) under Histoplasma capsulatum. RNAcentral describes it as "hypothetical RNA". Lineage: Eukaryota; Fungi; Ascomycota; Eurotiomycetes; Onygenales; Ajellomycetaceae. The record is from RNAcentral.
CUCAGCUGCCUUGUCUUGCGAUUCAUAUAUCCCUGAGAGUGACCAGUUGUCUUCGUCCCAUAUCCGCACUCCACUAGAUAUUUGAUCGCAAUAUCUACAACCUUAUCGUUAAACAAAAUACCGUCGCCAUGGCUGACGGAGAAAAAGUCAAUACACCACUGAAGGCCUUAGCUUCCCAGAGCAAUCCUCCGGAGUCUCCAACUACAGCUAGGCCUCUGGACUUUGACGAUGAAUCGCAGGAGUCCGGCGUGACCCCAAUACAGCCAACUUCAGCGUCCAAAGCAUCCUCACAAUUGACACCAGGCGGCAACGAUGGCCCCCCACCAAAACCACCCCGACCACUCAGCCCCAUGCAGCAAGCAGAGAGCACUUUAAAAGAGGCGUUUCCCAGUAUCGAUGCCAGCGUUAUAAAAGCUGUUUUGGUGGCUAGUGAUGGGAAUGUUGAGAGAUCAUUCCAUGCGCUGCUCGGCAUGUCGGACCCUGAUGCGCAAGUGGAUCUGCCGCCUACGAUGCCCCCGCGGCCACCCCGGAAGGAUUCCCCCACUCAACGACAACUCGAAGCCGAUGAAAUGUAUGCGCGUCAGCUUGCGGAGCAUUACAGCGGAGUGGGCCAACGUCAUAGAGCCCCGGAAUCUUCGUGGGACCAUGAACCGCAUUUGCCGAGGCAACGCAGGGAGACUGGAUUAAAACCCAAUGAACUCCAUGAUGACAGAGAGCAUAACUUUUUUGAUGAUGAUCUACCGAUAAUUAAGGAGAACAUUCGCAAGGGAUUCCUAGAGACGCAGACAAAAGUUAACGCUUGGGUUCAAAAUUUCAAGAAGAAGCUUGAGGGCGAUGACGAGGAGGAUGAAUAUGGAAAUCCACCUCCCCAUCCAGCACAGGGAUAUGCCCAAGGAUACGGCGACACUCAGACCUAUCGCACAAGGCGGAGCGGCGAGGCCAGGCGAAGUGGUGACCGCGAACGGUACGAUGCCGACCCUCAGGUCUUAGGUGACGACUUCUCCGCAUUAGAGCUGAGAGAUGCUGAAGCCCAUCCACCACGCUCAUCGCGACCCCUCGCAAACCCCGAUCUCUUCAAGCCCAACUCACCAUCACCUGACCGUCGAAAAGUCUCUUUCCAAGAGGGACCUCCUGAGGAAAUACACGAUGCUUAUGGCCCCGGCUCUGCAUCUGAUAGAAGCAAGCAGCCGUCAUCCACUGGUGGUAGCAAUAAGUCCAGCAAAUGGCAACCACUCUCUACAGUUGAACCUUCACCAGUUGCAGACAACGAUCCAUUCAGCCUUGGUGACAGCGACGACGAGAAGGAGGUUAGGAAUAACAAUAAAGAUCUUAAGCCCGACGAUGCUGAGAGGGUGAGGAAGGCUACUGCAGAAGCUAUGGCGGGGAUAUUGGGACUGAUUCUCCAAAGGCUGGCAACAAGAAUAAGCCCGCUGGGGGAACUUAGACAGGGCGGGGCUCCAAGUUACUUUGUUUUUAUUUUUAUAGUUUGUCAUACUUCUUGACUUUUGCUGUAUAUUCCUCCAUUUCGUUUCGCCCCAUACUUUUACUGUAUCCUGGGUAAACCAGAACCUACCUUUGAUCUUCUUUCCCAAAUUGCAGGCUCGCACAACAUGUGCGCGGAGAGCGCUUAUUUAUGUCACCCGAGCAUUUUAGAGCGGCUUUUUACCCAUUUUAUCUAUUAUGAUUGUUCCCUUUCUUUUUGUGAAUUUUGUCAAUGCGAGACGGCGGGAGGGGCCCCCAUUUUGAUUUUGUAAUUGAUGUCUAAUUAUUCCUUUUCGAUUGACUAUAUCGCCAAAGUAUCCUUCCCCCCCCCCUCCCUGGGUUAUCCCCUUCGGUUUCCACAUUCUGACAACAAGUGCAAGCUCUGGCUACCCAGCCCUGGCGGCAUGGUAAUCCAUUUUGUCACCGUUUCCCCCCUCUGCGAUGUAUAGUACCGUUAUGUACAUACCGAAUAUAAUCAAUCACAUCCAUCCAGAUGGUCUUCGAAAGUUGCCCUGGCUACCCCCGGCUCUCUUUCUCUCAUUUGUUAGCAGCCAGAAGAAUCUCAGAAUGGAAUGAAUACAAAGUAGAUGGUGCUACUAACUCAAGCGGAGGGUUAAAGAAAGAAAGAAAAAUCAAAAAUCAAAAAAAAAAAAUCAAAAAAUCAAAAAGAAAACGAAAAAAGAAAAUAGCUAGCUAGAUAUGGGAAUGUGGGAACCCCCCGAGGGCCUAUUCUAUGCACGCAGCAGAUGUAAAACUGAUAGAUAUCAAAUCAAACCGGGCAGCAGAACCACACACACACACACACACACAAAAAAACCCUGUUGAAUAUCCUAAAUUAAGUAUUAUACAUACAGAUGAAAAUAAUGAGCCCAUCCCGCGCACAUUAAAGGAAAUACAUUGUUAUCAAACUCCCCAAAACAGCACCUUGGGGAAGAAGAGGAGGGGGGGGUGGUUAGGAGGAGGAAAGGGCCUCAUAUAAACCGUCCUCCCACAACACCAAUACAUAUGCAUGCAUACAACGCGCGGGAUACCCACUUUGAAUCCAGGGACGAUUACCUUCGCAGGAACAAAACAUCCCAUACAGAACUAAGCCAAAAUCAGAGGGGAGAAACGGAGAGAGGGAAAAACCUUCCUCCUUUCCGUCCUUCCACGAAAAGGUGGGGGGGUUAUGGGAACGGGCAAUAUCGAAUCACCAAGGAACACACACACACAUACUCUCUCUCUCUCUCUCUCCAUUCUUUGCCAUCAUUCGGAGCAACGAUAAAUUGCACACACGUCCAUCCAGAGGAACCGGGGAGAAUAGCGUAGUUCAGAUAAAGGGGGGAAAAAAAAGGGUGUUAAACGCAUGACAACAUUGCUAUUCAUGCACUCCUCUUCCUUACUCCACCGCAGCGGAGGCGGCGUCUGCUGCAGCACUCGAUGUCGUCGUUGCAAUUGCAGUUGCGGCCUCUCUGCGCAAUUCUUUAAUGACGGCAGCCAAAGCUUCAGGAUUCACGCCGUUCUCGAUUAGGGAGACGCAGAGGGAUAGCUCCGUUCGGUCGAGGUGGGUAUUCUAGAGGGACACGGUGAGCGAGAGAAAUAGAAAACACAAAGUCAUAUGGAAGGGGAUUUUUUUGGUUUGAUUAUUUGGGACUUGAUAUAUAUAUAUUUCCUCAUUUUACUUUCUAAAAACAGAUCUAUACAUGUAUGAGCGUUUUUUUGGGGGGGGAGGUAAUGGAACAUACCAGGAUCGUGGAUAUUUCAUGAAGGAUAUCAACAACUUCGCGCGCGGCUUGUCGUUUGUCGUCCUGUUGUUGCUGUUGCUGCUGCUGCUGGUGUGGAGGCGGGACGGGCAUGGCUUCGUUGGCGUCUUUUCCAGUUUCUUUCUUUCUCUUCUCUUUGCUCUCAAAUAUAAACUAUUCCCCUACGUACUAGUACCGGUGAAGGGUUUCGGCGACGAUGUUUGGAUCAAUAAAGUUAUCGGAUGUUUUUUGGCCUAAGAAUACUAGUAUUUAGCGCGUUUUUUCUCCACAUGGAAAAAUAAAAAAAAAGC